Long non-coding RNA from Nematolebias whitei (Rio pearlfish), 149 nucleotides. RefSeq lists it as uncharacterized. The transcript is spliced from 3 exons. Lineage: Eukaryota; Metazoa; Chordata; Actinopteri; Cyprinodontiformes; Rivulidae. The record is from RefSeq and is a predicted model, not a curated record.
CAUCGUGGUCUUUGCCUUACUGGGCAUGCAGCUCUUCGGAGGACAGUUCAACUUUGAGAAUGAGACACCAACAACAAACUUUGAUACGUUUCCAGCAGCCAUCCUCACUGUGUUCCAGAUUCUGACCGGCGAGGACUGGAACGCUGUGA